RNAcentral lists this ribosomal RNA (496 nucleotides) under uncultured Paenibacillus sp. RNAcentral describes it as "partial 16S ribosomal RNA". Lineage: Bacteria; Bacillati; Bacillota; Bacilli; Caryophanales; Paenibacillaceae. The record is from RNAcentral.
CACGUAGUUAGCCGGGGCUUUCUUCUCAGGUACCGUCACCUUGAGAGCAGUUACUCUCUCAAGCGUUCUUCCCUGGCAACAGAGCUUUACGAUCCGAAAACCUUCAUCACUCACGCGGCAUUGCUCCGUCAGGCUUUCGCCCAUUGCGGAAGAUUCCCUACUGCUGCCUCCCGUAGGAGUCUGGGCCGUGUCUCAGUCCCAGUGUGGCCGAUCACCCUCUCAGGUCGGCUACGCAUCGUCGCCUUGGUGAGCCGUUACCCCACCAACUAGCUAAUGCGCCGCAGGCCCAUCCCCAAGUGACAGAUUGCUCCGUCUUUCCAGUUUCCUUCAUGCGAAGAAACAACUAUUCGGUAUUAGCUACCGUUUCCGGUAGUUGUCCCAAACUUGAGGGCAGGUUGCCUACGUGUUACUCACCCGUCCGCCGCUAAGUAUCAAAGAAGCAAGCUUCUUAUCAACUCCGCUCGACUUGCAUGUAUUAGGCAUGCCGCCAGCGUCG